GAUGAACGCUGGCGGCGUGCCUAAUACAUGCAAGUCGAGCGAACGGACGAGAAGCUUGCUUCUCUGAUGUUAGCGGCGGACGGGUGAGUAACACGUGUAUAACCUACCUAUAAGACUGGGAUAACUUCGGGAAACCGGAGCUAAUACCGGAUAAUAUUUUGAACCGCAUGGUUCAAAAGUGAAAGACGGUCUUUCUGUCUCUUAUAGAUGCAUCCGCGCUGCAUUAGCUAGUUGGUAAGGUAACGGCUUACCAAGGCAACGAUGCAUAGCCGACCUGAGAGGGGGAUCGGCCGCACGAGAACGGGAACACGGACCAGGGUCCUACGGGAGGGCGCAGUAGGGAAUCGUCCGCAAUGGGGGGAAGCCUGACGGAACAACGCCGCGUGAGAGGUGGAGGUGUUGGGAUCGGAAAAACCUGUUAUUAGGGAAGAACAUAUGUGUAAGUAACUGUGCACAUCUUGACGGUACCUAAUCAGAAAGCCACGGCUAACUACGUG
This 497-nucleotide ribosomal RNA is filed under the name uncultured bacterium. RNAcentral's name for it is "partial 16S ribosomal RNA". It matches the Rfam family "Bacterial small subunit ribosomal RNA", at positions 28 to 507 of the family's 1533-position model. The record is from RNAcentral.